GAUGAACGCUGGCGGCGUGCUUAACACAUGCAAGUCGAACGAACCUUCGGGUUAGUGGCGGACGGGUGAGUAACGCGUGAGAAUCUGCCCUCAGGAGGGGGACAACAGUUGGAAACGACUGCUAAUACCCCAUAUGCCGCGAGGUGAAAUGAAUUUCGCCUGAGGAUGAGCUCGCGUCUGAUUAGCUUGUUGGUGGGGUAAUGGCCUACCAAGGCAACGAUCAGUAGCUGGUCUGAGAGGAUGAUCAGCCACACUGGGACUGAGACACGGCCCAGACUCCUACGGGAGGCAGCAGUGGGGAAUUUUCCGCAAUGGGCGAAAGCCUGACGGAGCAACGCCGCGUGAGGGAUGAAGGCCUCUGGGCUGUAAACCUCUUUUAUCAAGGAAGAAGAUCUGACGGUACUUGAUGGAUAAGCCACGGCUAAUUCCGUG
Molecule: ribosomal RNA, 432 nt
Filed under: uncultured bacterium
Lineage: Bacteria
Description: bacterial SSU rRNA
Rfam family: Bacterial small subunit ribosomal RNA
Source: RNAcentral